Molecule: ribosomal RNA, 497 nt
Filed under: uncultured bacterium
Lineage: Bacteria
Description: partial 16S ribosomal RNA
Rfam family: Bacterial small subunit ribosomal RNA
Source: RNAcentral
GAUGAACGCUGGCGGCGUGCCUAAUACAUGCAAGUCGAGCGAACAGACGAGGAGCUUGCUCCUCUGACGUUAGCGGCGGACGGGUGAGUAACACGUGGAUAACCUACCUAUAAGACUGGGAUAACUUCGGGAAACCGGAGCUAAUACCGGAUAAUAUAUUGAACCGCAUGGUUCAAUAGUGAAAGACGGUUUUGCUGUCACUUAUAGAUGGAUCCGCGCCGCAUUAGCUAGUUGGUAAGGUAAAGGCUUACCAAGGCAACGAUGCGUAGCCGACCUGAGAGGGUGAUCGCCCACACUGGAACUGAGACACGGUCCAGACUCCUGCGGGAGGCAGCAGUAGGGAAUCUUCCGCAAUGGGCGAAAGCUUGACGGAGCAACGCCGCGUGAGUGAUGAAGGUCUUCGGAUCGUAAAACUCUGUUAUUAGGGAAGAACAAAUGUGUAAGUAACUAUGCACGUCUUGACGGUACCUAAUCAGAAAGCCACGGCUAACUACGUG